AACGCGAAGAACCUUACCCAGACUUGACAUACAGUGGAAGUUAGCAGAAAUGUUAACGCCUUUCGGGGCCGCUGAACAGGUGCUGCAUGGCUGUCGUCAGCUCAUGCCGUGAGGUGCUGGGUUAAGUCCCGCAACGAGCGCAACCCUUAUCGUUAGUUGCCAACAGGUAAUGCUGGGAACUCUAGCGAGACUGCCUGGGUUAACCAGGAGGAAGGUGAGGAUGACGUCAAGUCCGCAUGGCCCUUAUGUCUGGGGCUACACACGUGCUACAAUGGUCGGUACAAAAGGCAGCGAAACCGCGAGGUGAAGCAAAUCCCAAAAGCCGGCCUCAGUUCAGAUUGUAGUCUGCAACUCGACUACAUGAAGACGGAAUUGCUAGUAAUGGCAGGUCAGCAACACUGCCGUGAAUACGUUCCCGGGUCUUGUACACACCG
This 434-nucleotide ribosomal RNA is filed under the name uncultured Chlamydiae bacterium. RNAcentral's name for it is "bacterial SSU rRNA". It matches the Rfam family "Bacterial small subunit ribosomal RNA", at positions 958 to 1392 of the family's 1533-position model. Lineage: Bacteria; Pseudomonadati; Chlamydiota; Chlamydiia. The record is from RNAcentral.